RNAcentral lists this ribosomal RNA (253 nucleotides) under uncultured bacterium. Its description in RNAcentral is "partial 16S ribosomal RNA". It matches the Rfam family "Bacterial small subunit ribosomal RNA", at positions 524 to 776 of the family's 1533-position model. The record is from RNAcentral.
UACGAAGGGGGCUAGCGUUGCUCGGAAUUACUGGGCGUAAAGCGCACGUAGGCGGCUUCUUAAGUCGGUGGUGAAAUCCUGGAGCUCAACUCCAGAACUGCCUUCGAUACUGACGAUCUCGAGUCCGGGAGAGGUGAGUGGAACUCCGAGUGUAGAGGUGAAAUUCGUAGAUAUUCGGAAGAACACCAGUGGCGAAGGCGGCUCACUGGCCCGGUACUGACGCUGAGGUGCGAAAGCGUGGGGAGCAAACAGG